This 437-nucleotide ribosomal RNA is filed under the name uncultured bacterium. RNAcentral's name for it is "bacterial SSU rRNA". It matches the Rfam family "Bacterial small subunit ribosomal RNA", at positions 64 to 507 of the family's 1533-position model. The record is from RNAcentral.
GAGGGCGGGUAGCAAUACCCGACCGGCGAACGGGUGCGUAACACGUGAGCGACCGACCCUAGGUGUGGGGGAUAGCCGGCCCAACGGCCGGGUAAUACCGCAUACGCUCUUCGGGCUGCAUGGCCUGGAGAGGAAAUCCUUCGGGAGCACUAGGACGGGCUCGCGGCCUAUCAGCUAGUUGGCGGGGUAACGGCCCACCAAGGCAUCGACGGGUAGCUGGUCUGAGAGGAUGGCCAGCCACAUUGGGACUGAGAAACGGCCCAGACUCCUACGGGAGGCAGCAGUGGGGAAUAUUGCGCAAUGGCCGAGAGGCUGACGCAGCGACGCCGCGUGUGAGAUGAAGCUCUUACGGGGUGUAAACCACUGUUGCCCGGGACGAACGGGAGGAUCAAUCCUCCGUGACGGUACCGGGUGAGGAAGCACCGGCUAACUCCGUG